AACGAACGCUGGCGGCAUGCCUAACACAUGCAAGUCGAACGAGACCUUCGGGUCUAGUGGCGCACGGGUGCGUAACGCGUGGGAACCUGCCCUUAGGUUCGGAAUAACUCCCCGAAAGGGGUGCUAAUACCGGAUAAUGUCUUCGGACCAAAGAUUUAUCGCCUUUGGAUGGGCCCGCGUUGGAUUAGCUAGUUGGUAGGGUAAAAGCCUACCAAGGCGACGAUCCAUAGCUGGUCUGAGAGGAUGAUCAGCCACACUGGGACUGAGACACGGCCCAGACUCCUACGGGAGGCAGCAGUGGGGAAUAUUGGACAAUGGGUGAAAGCCUGAUCCAGCAAUGCCGCGUGAGUGAUGAAGGCCUUAGGGUUGUAAAGCUCUUUUACCCGGGAUGAUAAUGACAGUACCGGGAGAAUAAGCUCCGGCUAACUCCGUG
RNAcentral lists this ribosomal RNA (433 nucleotides) under uncultured bacterium. RNAcentral describes it as "partial 16S ribosomal RNA". It matches the Rfam family "Bacterial small subunit ribosomal RNA", at positions 29 to 507 of the family's 1533-position model. The record is from RNAcentral.